GGGGACAGAUAGAGGAGGAAGUUCGGCAGAUGUGAGGGAGGUUAUGGAAGAGGAUCAGAGGAGGGAUGGGAACUUGGAUGUGAGCAUGGAGGAAGAAGGGACAGGGGAGUCUCAGGGAGGCGUUCAGGCCUCGGGGUAUGGUUUUCCACCCCAUUAUCCACCCUUCCCACAGGGUUCAGGGUAUCCGAUGGGAGGUACAUCGGAUUACUCCAGCUUUAACCCCUACCCUACCUACAUGCCUUAUCCACCUUUCUAUCCACCUUAUACACA
This 270-nucleotide long non-coding RNA is filed under the name Manihot esculenta (cassava). RNAcentral describes it as "long non-coding RNA (MESC_LNC011576)". Lineage: Eukaryota; Viridiplantae; Streptophyta; Magnoliopsida; Malpighiales; Euphorbiaceae. The record is from RNAcentral.